RNAcentral lists this ribosomal RNA (497 nucleotides) under uncultured bacterium. Its description in RNAcentral is "partial 16S ribosomal RNA". It matches the Rfam family "Bacterial small subunit ribosomal RNA", at positions 28 to 507 of the family's 1533-position model. The record is from RNAcentral.
GGUGAACGCUGGCGGCGUGCCUAAUACAUACAAGUCGAGCGAACAGACGAGGAGCUUGCUCCUCUGACGUUAGCGGCGGACGGGUGAGUAACACGUGGAUAACCUACCUAUAAGACUGGGAUAACUUCGGGAAACCGGAGCUAAUACCGGAUAAUAUAUUGAACCGCAUGGUUCAAUAGUGAAAGACGGUUUUGCUGUCACUUAUAGAUGGAUCCGCGCCGCAUUAGCUAGUUGGUAAGGUAACGGCUUACCAAGGCAACGAUGCGUAGCCGACCUGAGAGGGUGAUCGGCCACACUGGAACUGAGACACGGUCCAGACUCCUACGGGAGGCAGCAGUAGGGAAUCUUCCGCAAUGGGCGAAAGCCUGACGGAGCAACGCCGCGUGAGUGAUGAAGGUCUUCGGAUCGUAAAACUCUGUUAUUAGGGAAGAACAAAUGUGUAAGUAACUAUGCACGUCUUGACGGUACCUAAUCAGAAAGCCACGGCUAACUACGUG